RNAcentral lists this transfer RNA (73 nucleotides) under Candidatus Omnitrophota bacterium. RNAcentral's name for it is "tRNA-Ala". It matches the Rfam family "tRNA". Rfam says of the family: Transfer RNA (tRNA) molecules are approximately 80 nucleotides in length. Their secondary structure includes four short double-helical elements and three loops (D, anti-codon, and T loops). The record is from RNAcentral. RNAcentral also lists the same sequence under 1 other name. Lineage: Bacteria; Pseudomonadati; Candidatus Omnitrophota.
GGGGACGUAGCUCAAUUGGGAGAGCGCUACCUUCGCAUGGUAGAAGUUGCCGGUUCAAGUCCGGUCGUCUCCA